Non-coding RNA from Camelina sativa (false flax), 2343 nucleotides. The record is from RefSeq and is a predicted model, not a curated record. NCBI's taxonomy places the organism in Eukaryota, Viridiplantae, Streptophyta, Magnoliopsida, Brassicales, Brassicaceae.
UUAGACAAUUGUUUCGUCAUUGUUUUGGCGAUUUAGGGUUCGUCUCAGACCGCAGCGUCGGUCCAGCCUCAAGCUCACCAUCGAGAAUCUUCACUGCCUAGUGCCUACGCCUCGUAUUCAUUUCGCAGCCAUAUCUAUUUCUAAAACCCUGCCCUGGUUGGUUUUUCUCCAUCCGGCGCCGCCUCUCAAAGCCUCUGCUUCUCCGAAGGUCACCUCUCAUCGAUUUGAUGAUGGAUUACAAUAAAAAAUCAUGCCGGAUCAGGAAUCAGCAGAGGCGAGCAUACGAAACGGGUCAUUGGGCACGGUCACGGUCUAAAAACGGGUUAACGACGAAACGGGUCAUCGGGCACGGGUCUUUGAAAUGGGUCUUCUUGACCCGUAUGAGUUCGGCAGCUCAGCUCAAACCAAAAUCGCUCCAUAGUGAUCACCUCCUUCGUUCGGCAGCUCAGCUCAAACCAAAAUCGCUCCAUAGUGAUCACCUCCUUCGAUAUGGCGAUGAACUGUGAAUCAUGUGGAAACACAAGAGCUUUGGUUUAUUGUUGGGACUGUGGCCAACCGAGAAUCUGUGUUCCAACAUUCCAACACUUUGGAGAUCACAUCAGGACACAUAUGCAUAGUCCUGUGUGUGAUCUCUGUUCAGUGAAGCCAGCCCUUGUUCGUUGUUUUAAUGGUGGUGGGUUAUACUUUUGUCAGAACUGUUUUGUGGGUCAGGCUCAGGAGUGUGUUGUCAGAAAAGACCAUCUGGCUGUUGUCCCCUUCUCAGGACACAUUUAUUGUUCUGCUGCACCGACUCAGCAACUCACCGUAGCUGCACCGACUCAGCAACUCCCCCUCCUAGCGACUGCACAGACUGCAUCUGGUUCAGUUUUGCAGACAUCACAGUACCUACCCCAGUCAGCCUUAUCUGAAAUACUUGAUAACGUCCCACCUUUCUCUACUAGUCACCAGCUGUGUUCAACUUCCUCAAUGGCGUCUACCUCGGGAGUUCGUGUGGUUGAAGACCAAACACAGCAGUCUACUUUGGGUUUUGGUUUGAGUCAAAACCGCCUAAGCUUUCCUUCCACUUCGGGAUUCCGUCCAACUGGCUUGCAGGCUUCAGGUUCGCAGUUGCAGAGUUCAACUUCCUCAAUGGCGUCUACCUCGGUUGGUGUGAUUAGAGACCACCCACAGCAGUCUACUUUGGGUUUUGGUUUGAGUCAAAACCGCCCAAGCUUUCCUUCCACUUCGGGAUUCCGUCCAACUGUAUCUAGUUCAUACCAACUAGCUUCGCAGACUGGCUUGCAGGGUUCAGGUUGGCAGUUGCAGAGUUUAACUUCCUCAAUACCAUCUGCCUCGGUUGGUGUGAUUAGAGACCACCCACAGCAGUCUACUUUGGGUUUUGGUUUGAGUCAAAACCGCCUAAGCUUUCCUUCCACUUCGGGAUUCCGUCCAACUGGCUUGCAGGCUUCAGGUUCGCAGUUGCAGAGUUCAACUUCCUCAAUGGCGUCUACCUCGGUUGGUGUGAUUAGAGACCACCCACAGCAGUCUACUUUGGGUUUUGGUUUGAGUCAAAACCGCCCAAGCUUUCCUUCCACUUCGGGAUUCCGUCCAACUGUAUCUAGUUCAUACCAACUAGCUUCGCAGACUGGCUUGCAGGGUUCAGGUUGGCAGUUGCAGAGUUUAACUUCCUCAAUACCAUCUGCCUCGGUUGGUGUGAUUAGAGACCACCCACAGCAGUCUACUUUGGGUUUUGGUUUGAGUCAAAACCGCCUAAGCUUUCCUUCCACUUCGGGAUUCCGUCCAACUGGCUUGCAGGCUUCAGGUUCGCAGUUGCAGAGUUCAACUUCCUCAAUGGCGUCUACCUCGGUUGGUGUGAUUAGAGACCACCCACAGCAGAUUCCCUUUCGUUUCUGCAGUCUACUUUGGGUUUUGGUUUGAGUCAAAACCGCCCAAGCUUUCCUUCCACUUCGGGAUUCCGUCCAACUGUAUCUAGUUCAUACCAACUAGCUUCGCAGACUGGCUUGCAGGGUUCAGGUUGGCAGUUGCAGAGUUUAACUUCCUCAAUACCAUCUGCCUCGGUUGGUGUGAUUAGAGACCACCCACAGCAGUCUUCGCAGGACCCUAUUGCUGAUCAAUCUGCAUCUCCUCCUCGUGAAUUGGGUUUGUUCCCACUAAAACCUUCCAAAAGACAGAGGAGGGAAUGAAGACAGAUGGUAUUGUGAUAUACAAGGAGAUUUGUUUGUAGUGGACCACUGGUUCUAUGUUUUUUUCUUUUGGAUCUAUUUUUUUGUGUUCAGAAUGUUGAACAAACAAUUCUUUGGUUGUUGACUUGGUGGCCAUAAAAAUAUGGAUGAGUUAUCUUUA